UGAGGAAUAUUGGACAAUGGGCGCAAGCCUGAUCCAGCCAUGCCGCGUGGGUGAUGAAGGCCCUAGGGUUGUAAAGCCCUUUCAGCGGGGAAGAUAAUGACGGUACCCGCAGAAGAAGCCCCGGCUAACUUCGUG
This 135-nucleotide ribosomal RNA is filed under the name uncultured bacterium. Its description in RNAcentral is "partial 16S ribosomal RNA". It matches the Rfam family "Bacterial small subunit ribosomal RNA", at positions 355 to 507 of the family's 1533-position model. The record is from RNAcentral.